This 85-nucleotide transfer RNA is filed under the name Felis catus (domestic cat). It matches the Rfam family "tRNA". Rfam says of the family: Transfer RNA (tRNA) molecules are approximately 80 nucleotides in length. Their secondary structure includes four short double-helical elements and three loops (D, anti-codon, and T loops). Further hydrogen bonds mediate the characteristic L-shaped molecular structure. tRNAs have two regions of fundamental functional importance: the anti-codon, which is responsible for specific mRNA codon recognition, and the 3' end, to which the tRNAs corresponding amino acid is attached (by aminoacyl-tRNA synthetases). tRNAs cope with the degeneracy of the genetic code in two manners: having more than one tRNA (with a specific anti-codon) for a particular amino acid; and 'wobble' base-pairing, i.e. permitting non-standard base-pairing at the 3rd anti-codon position. The record is from Rfam by way of RNAcentral. Lineage: Eukaryota; Metazoa; Chordata; Mammalia; Carnivora; Felidae.
GCCUGCGUGGCUCAGUUGGUUAAGCAUCUGACUUCGGCUCAGGUCAUGAUCUCGCAGUUUGUGAGUUCGAGUCCCGCGUCAGGCU